UACGAGGGGGGCAACUGUUGUUCGGAAUCACUGGGCGUAAAGGGAGCGUAGGCGGGCUGUCAAGUCUGGGGUGAAAUGCCGCGGCUCAACCGUGGAACUGCCUUAGAUACUGACGGCCUCGAGGGAGGUAGGGGCGUGCGGAACUGUAGGUGGAGCGGUGAAAUGCGUUGAUAUCUACAGGAACUCCGGUGGCGAAAGCGGCGCGCUGGACCUCUUCUGACGCUGAGGCGCGAAAGCUAGGGGAGCAAACGGG
RNAcentral lists this ribosomal RNA (253 nucleotides) under uncultured bacterium. Its description in RNAcentral is "partial 16S ribosomal RNA". It matches the Rfam family "Bacterial small subunit ribosomal RNA", at positions 524 to 776 of the family's 1533-position model. The record is from RNAcentral.